This 144-nucleotide unclassified non-coding RNA is filed under the name soil metagenome. RNAcentral describes it as "partial internal transcribed spacer 1". The record is from RNAcentral.
UAAUAAGUGUUUUAUGGCACUUUUUAAAUCCAUAUCCUCCUUGUGUGCAAUGUCAGUCGAUCUUCUUCAUGGAGAUCGACCAAACAUCAACCUUUAUCUUUUAACUCUUUGUCUGAAAAAUAUUAUGAAUAAACAAUUCAAAUA